AAGAGGGGGGAGAGGGGGGGCUCUGACCUUAUAUGUAUGGAAAUGGCCGACCAUGACUGUGAAAAAAAAAACUUGUGGUACAGUCUUACAAUGGAUGGGCCGUGUCUGCGCACAAGCUAAACAUGCAGACGGAAAAAGUGAGGGAGAUUGCCCACAACACUCUCUUCGUCAACUCCUACUCACACCGUCUCAGCACUGUUGACUGAAGUUGAUAUUUUGUGAUCUGAGGUCGUUCCCCUCAUGUUUGUUCCCCACCGACUGAGGUUCUUCAAUGAAACUUGGAGUGAGGUGAAUGCUGACCGACUACCACUGGACCUACUCAGUGAGGUGGCAAACACCUACCACGCAUUUUAGGACACCAUCAACCACAUUGGGAACCUGGAUUGGGUAAAUGGCGACUCAUCCUAUGAAGCAAACAAUCUUGUUUUGAAACUUGAGGGUUUUCAGUUUGUUCCAGCUCUUCACCUACGCGCAGGUUUUCUCCAACAUUUAUGUUGCAUUUGACACUGAAGCACAAAGCAAUGGAUGUGGCAGCCUGCAAAGCUAGCAUUGAGGAGCUGGUUCAACACAUCUAGAGCAAGAAGUCUGACUGCCUUUGACAGUGUCUAACAGAAGGCUGAGAGAUUGGCUCAACACCCAUGCAAAAGUCUCAAGUAGACGGAUGACUUAGACCCUCUGACACACUUCAAGGCUUUGUACUACAAAGCUCUGGAAACCGUCAUCUCUCAGAUCCAGGUUUGUUACGCACAUUUGGAUGACCUACGCUUCCUCGAGCUGCUGGAUCCAGCGAAGUUCACUGACAUGAACAUCCAUUUCGCAACAGACGUGGUGGAUAGCCCAGUGAAGCUCUACGGGGGCUUCUUCAACAUGGCCAGGCUCAGAGUGGACCUGAAGGCAUUCUACAUAGGCCAAGGACAACAGCAGGACAGCCACAAGCUCUGUGAAUGGAUCUGUUUCAUCCGCUCCCAGAAGAACCCACUACCAGAGCUCUACAAGCUGAUGUGCCUUGUGGCGACCAUUGGAGUGACCUCAGCCGACGUGGAGGAAAGCUUCCCCUGCCUGAAGCGCAUUCAUGGCUUUGUGAAAGGGGAAAAGUUGGACGAUCAGCUCCACCAGAACAUGGCCAUGAUGUGCAUAGAGAAUGAGGGUUUGUCACGAACUCGGGGAGCAGCACUGGUAUGACAAAGUCACGAACCUCUGUGCCAGAAAGACCAAGAGAGAAGAUGAGUUCAUCACCAAGAUGGCUGCAGGAGGGUUGAAAGGACCGGCAGCAAAGAGGACCUCCACAGCAACAGAGGACUCUCAGGAGCCACCAGUCAGGAAGCAUGAUGACGAGGUUUUCUCACCUGAAUGAUCUGAAUCUAGAUUACAACACACAGGUCUUGCCAUCAUUGUAUGAUUUUUUUUGUGUGUAAAUGAACUGAAGCUUAUGGACAAUAUCAAGGUGAUGAGUUAUUCACCAUUUUUGAUGAACAAAUAAGGUUUUAUAUGUAAGAUGGCUAAAUAAAGAGCAAAAUUAUUGAUAAUUAUUAUAUUAUUAUUUGUGGCCUGGUCCUAUAAGAGCUCUUUGUCACUUCCCACGAGCCGGGUUGUGACAAAAACUCACUCAUUCUCAUGUUUAAUACAUGUAUUGUAUAGUUUGUGUGUGGCAGGCUUACAAUGAUGGCAAACAACAACAUUUGUGUUUUGCUGACCCUGGUGCCGGAGGUGGUAUGCAGCUGGAGGUUGAAUGUUUGAAGGGGUAUGGGACUAUAAAAUGUUUGGGAGCAACUGCCUUAGACAAUUACCCCCUCCACAAAAAUAUACCAUAUGUUGAAUGCUUAGGCCUAGUUUUGUUUAAGUUAUCUGAUCGAAUUAAACGCAUAUAAACAGAAUGGCGUUCCCAUUCAAGUUAAUUAACCCAUUCUAUUCAUUAGCCAUUUGUUUUAACUAGGCAAGACAGUUAAGAACAAAGUAUUAUUUAUAAUUACAGCCUAGAACAGUGGGUUAACUGUCUUGUUUAGGGUCGGAAUGACAGAUACAUAUCUUGUCAGGUCAGGGAUUCGAUCGAACAACCUUUACAGUUUCUGGCCCAGCCCUUUAACCACUAGGCUACCUGCUGCCCCAAGAACCCACCUGUCGCCCCAUUUAAAACAAUUUGAUUGCCGAAAUCUGAUCAGAUAACAUUGGCUGGGUGAUUGGACAGAUGUGAGUUCCCAGAGUUACUUUUAUUUGGUUAGUAAAUUAUACUGAUUACAGUAGAACUCCGAUUUAUUUCAUUUUAUAGGUGUAGCCAGCCUACUACAGUAGUUCAAUCAACUCCCUUUGCUCUUGGUCGUUUAUGCCAAUGGAGCCCAGUAGGUGGCGGUAUAGGCCUACACAUUCCUCAUUUUCAUUAGUGGCUGGUGCGCUAUCACCGUCACAAGAAGCCAGCAGAAAACGAACGGGUGGACAUUUGACAUGAGUUAAGUUAUUACAAGACGUAGAUCAAUUUAACCUUGAGAUUUAUGGUUUUUCUGUGACAUUUAUUCAUGCUAAUAGUCAUGUCAAUGACAGCCAGAAAUGUACAUCAGAAUUUGAGUUUAACAAGUUGUCACUUAUUGUUUUAAUGACAAGAACUAGUUGCACUUUCUGCAGGUUGUGUAUGACCUACGUUCAUUGUAAAACGCUUUGUUUGAAUAGAACAACUUAUAAAGGUGCCAUUUUAUCUUCUAUGAAUUCUAAAGUUAGUUUCCACACCAUAUUUUGAGAUUAGUUUUUUUUUUACGGCUCACUUUUCUGCCAUGUACAGUAUAAAGAUGUCAAGCCCAAGACAGAUCUCGAUAAAUUGGUAAAUUGAGGCUUAAUAAAUUGAGGACCCUCCAGU
Molecule: long non-coding RNA, 2845 nt
Organism: Oncorhynchus tshawytscha (Chinook salmon)
Lineage: Eukaryota; Metazoa; Chordata; Actinopteri; Salmoniformes; Salmonidae
Exons: 2
Source: RefSeq, a predicted model, not a curated record